RNAcentral lists this ribosomal RNA (458 nucleotides) under uncultured Pseudomonas sp. Its description in RNAcentral is "bacterial SSU rRNA". It matches the Rfam family "Bacterial small subunit ribosomal RNA", at positions 925 to 1382 of the family's 1533-position model. Lineage: Bacteria; Pseudomonadati; Pseudomonadota; Gammaproteobacteria; Pseudomonadales; Pseudomonadaceae. The record is from RNAcentral.
ACAAGCGGUGGAGCAUGUGGUUUAAUUCGAAGCAACGCGAAGAACCUUACCAGGCCUUGACAUGCAGAGAACUUUCCAGAGAUGGAUUGGUGCCUUCGGGAACUCUGACACAGGUGCUGCAUGGCUGUCGUCAGCUCGCGUCGUGAGAUGUUGGGUUAAGUCCCGUAACGAGCGCAACCCUUGUCCUUAGUUACCAGCACGUUAUGGUGGGCACUCUAAGGAGACUGCCGGUGACAAACCGGAGGAAGGCGGGGAUGACGUCAAGUCGUCAUGGCCCUUACGGCCUGGGCUACACACGUGCUACAAUGGUCGGUACAAAGGGUUGCCAAGCCGCGAGGUGGAGCUAAUCCCAUAAAACCGAUCGUAGUCCGGAUCGCAGUCUGCAACUCGACUGCGUGAAGUCGGAAUCGCUAGUAAUCGUGAAUCAGAAUGUCACGGUGAAUACGUUCCCGGGCCUU